CGUAGGGUGCGAGCGUUAAUCGGAAUUACUGGGCGUAAAGCGUGCGCAGGCGGUUUGUAAGACAGAUGUGAAAUCCCCGGGCUCAACCUGGGACCUGCAUUUGUGACUGCAAGGCUAGAGUACGGUAGAGGGGGAUGGAAUUCCGCGUGUAGCAGUGAAAUGCGUAGAUAUGCGGAGGAACACCGAUGGCGAAGGCAAUCCCCUGGACCUGUACUGACGCUCAUGCACGAAAGCGUGGGGAGCAAACAGGAUUAGAUACCCUGGUAGUCCACGCCCUAAACGAUGUCAACUGGUUGUUGGGUCUUUACUGACUCAGUAACGAAGCUAACGCGUGAAGUUGACCGCCUGGGGAGUACGGCCGCAAGGUUG
This 369-nucleotide ribosomal RNA is filed under the name uncultured organism. Its description in RNAcentral is "bacterial SSU rRNA". It matches the Rfam family "Bacterial small subunit ribosomal RNA", at positions 526 to 896 of the family's 1533-position model. The record is from RNAcentral.